UCGAUGAAGAACGCAGCGAAAUGCGAUAAGUAAUGUGAAUUGCAGAAUUCAGUGAAUCAUCGAAUCUUUGAACGCACCUUGCACUCCUUGGUAUUCCGAGGAGUAUGCCUGUUUGAGUCUC
Molecule: ribosomal RNA, 121 nt
Filed under: Macrolepiota albuminosa
Lineage: Eukaryota; Fungi; Basidiomycota; Agaricomycetes; Agaricales; Agaricaceae
Also listed under: 1 other name
Description: Termitomyces albuminosus partial 5.8S ribosomal RNA
Rfam family: 5.8S ribosomal RNA
About the family: 5.8S ribosomal RNA (5.8S rRNA) is a component of the large subunit of the eukaryotic ribosome. It is transcribed by RNA polymerase I as part of the 45S precursor that also contains 18S and 28S rRNA.
Source: RNAcentral